Molecule: ribosomal RNA, 354 nt
Filed under: uncultured bacterium
Lineage: Bacteria
Description: bacterial SSU rRNA
Rfam family: Bacterial small subunit ribosomal RNA
Source: RNAcentral
ACUCCUACGGGAGGCAGCAGUGGGGAAUAUUGCACAAUGGGCGCAAGCCUGAUGCAGCCAUGCCGCGUGUAUGAAGAAGGCCUUCGGGUUGUAAAGUACUUUCUAGCAGUGAGGAAGGUGGAUAUGUUAAUAGCAUACUCUAUUUGUACGUUAGCUGCAGAAGAAGCACCGGCUAACUCCGUGCCAGCAGCCGCGGUAAGUACGGAGGGUGCGAGCGUUAAUCGGAUUACGUGGCGUAAGCGCAUGGCUAGGUGGUUUGUUAAGUCAGAUGUGAAGCCCGGGCUCAACUCGGAAUUGCUAUUGAAACUGGCAAACUAGAGUACUGGUAGAGGGGUUAGAAUUUCGAGGUGUAGC